Molecule: non-coding RNA, 45 nt
Organism: Meleagris gallopavo (turkey)
Lineage: Eukaryota; Metazoa; Chordata; Aves; Galliformes; Phasianidae
Source: Rfam
CAAGUGGCUUUUUUCAAAGCCAUAUAUAAUACCUAAUUGAAUGUA